AUUGAACGCUGGCGGCAUGCCUUACACAUGCAAGUCGAACGGCAGCACGGGUGCUUGCACCUGGUGGCGAGUGGCGAGCGGGUGAGUAAUAUAUCGGAACGUACCUUAUUGUGGGGGAUAACGCAGCGAAAGCUGUGCUAAUACCGCAUAAUCCCUAAGGGGGAAAGCGGGGGACCGUAAGGCCUCGCGCAAUUAGAGCGGCCGAUACCUGAUUAGCUAGUUGGUGAGGUGAAGGCUCACCAAGGCAACGAUCAGUAGCUGGUCUGAGAGGACGAUCAGCCACACUGGGACUGAGACACGGCCCAGACUCCUACGGGGGGCAGCAGUGGGGAAUUUUGGACAAUGGGGGCAACCCUGAUCCAGCAAUGCCGCGUGAGUGAAGAAGGCCUUCGGGUUGUAAAGCCCUUUUGUCAGGGAAGAAACAGCAGCUCUAACACAGUUUGCGAAUGACGGUACCUGAAGAAUAAGCACCGGCUAACUACGUGCCAGCAGCCGCAGUAA
RNAcentral lists this ribosomal RNA (501 nucleotides) under uncultured bacterium. RNAcentral's name for it is "partial 16S ribosomal RNA". It matches the Rfam family "Bacterial small subunit ribosomal RNA", at positions 30 to 523 of the family's 1533-position model. The record is from RNAcentral.